Molecule: non-coding RNA, 72 nt
Organism: Halocaridina rubra (Hawaiian volcano shrimp)
Lineage: Eukaryota; Metazoa; Arthropoda; Malacostraca; Decapoda; Atyidae
Source: the annotation of a GenBank genome assembly
ACCUCUGUGGUUUAGUUGGUAGGACAUUGGCUUAGUAAUUAUAACUCCCAGGUUCAAGUCCCGGGUGGGGUA